This 730-nucleotide ribosomal RNA is filed under the name uncultured bacterium. RNAcentral describes it as "bacterial SSU rRNA". It matches the Rfam family "Bacterial small subunit ribosomal RNA", at positions 771 to 1501 of the family's 1533-position model. The record is from RNAcentral.
AACAGGAUUAGAUACCCUGGUAGUCCACGCCGUAAACGAUGUCGACUUGGAGGUUGUGCCCUUGAGGCGUGGCUUCCGGAGCUAACGCGUUAAGUCGACCGCCUGGGGAGUACGGCCGCAAGGUUAAAACUCAAAUGAAUUGACGGGGGCCCGCACAAGCGGUGGAGCAUGUGGUUUAAUUCGAUGCAACGCGAAGAACCUUACCUACUCUUGACAUCCAGAGAACUUAGCAGAGAUGCUUUGGUGCCUUCGGGAACUCUGAGACAGGUGCUGCAUGGCUGUCGUCAGCUCGUGUUGUGAAAUGUUGGGUUAAGUCCCGCAACGAGCGCAACCCUUAUCCUUUGUUGCCAGCGGUUCGGCCGGGAACUCAAAGGAGACUGCCAGUGAUAAACUGGAGGAAGGUGGGGAUGACGUCAAGUCAUCAUGGCCCUUACGAGUAGGGCUACACACGUGCUACAAUGGCAUAUACAAAGAGAAGCGACCUCGCGAGAGCAAGCGGACCUCAUAAAGUAUGUCGUAGUCCGGAUUGGAGUCUGCAACUCGACUCCAUGAAGUCGGAAUCGCUAGUAAUCGUGGAUCAGAAUGCCACGGUGAAUACGUUCCCGGGCCUUGUACACACCGCCCGUCACACCAUGGGAGUGGGUUGCAAAAGAAGUAGGUAGCUUAACCUUCGGGAGGGCGCUUACCACUUUGUGAUUCAUGACAGGGGUGAAGUCGUAACAAGGUAACC